This 504-nucleotide ribosomal RNA is filed under the name uncultured bacterium. RNAcentral describes it as "partial 16S ribosomal RNA". It matches the Rfam family "Bacterial small subunit ribosomal RNA", at positions 30 to 523 of the family's 1533-position model. The record is from RNAcentral.
AUUGAACGCUGGCGGCAGGCCUAACACAUGCAAGUCGAACGGUAGCACAGAGAGCUUGCUCUCGGGUGACGAGUGGCGGACGGGUGAGUAAUGUCUGGGAAACUGCCUGAUGGAGGGGGAUAACUACUGGAAACGGUAGCUAAUACCGCAUAACGUCGCAAGACCAAAGGGGGGGACCUUCGGGCCGCUUGCCAUCAGAUGUGCCCAGAUGGGAUUAGCUAGGGGGUGGGGUAACGGCUCACCUAGGCGACGAUCCCUAGCUGGUCUGAGAGGAUGACCAGCCACACUGGAACUGAGACACGGUCCAGACUCCUACGGGGGGCAGCAGUGGGGAAUAUUGCACAAUGGGCGCAAGCCUGAUGCAGCCAUGCCGCGUGUAUGAAGAAGGCCUUCGGGUUGUAAAGUACUUUCUGCGAGGAGGAAGGCGAUACGGUUAAUAACCGUGUCGAUUGACGUUACUCGCAGAAGAAGCACCGGCUAACUCCGUGCCAGCAGCCGCAGUAA